CUUACUGGAAUGGAUUUUAGGGUUCAUGGUUUGAUGGGUUUAACCAACCAAAUAGUCUUACGUUAUGUUCCACAAUUGCCCCUGUUACAGGCACGAUGCUCUCAACUAGUCGGCCAUCAAAUCUUUUGAAUACAUCAACUGGUAUGAUGAUGAUGUAAUACCUUUUCUUAUUUUGCUCGCUAAAAGACAUAACUGUGAUGAAAUUUGGGCACACAAUGCACUCAGAAUGCUAUCACGAGAUGAUUAAGCGUAAUAAAUACUCUUGUCCCAUAUGCUCAAAAUCAGUAAUGGAUAUGUCUAUGAUGUGGAGAGACUAGAUGAAGAGAUUGAAGCUACUGUGAUGCCUGAAAAUUACAGACAAAAGAAGGUUUGGAUCUUAUGUAAUGAGUGCAAUGACACUUCAGAGUUUCUUGAAUUUUGAAUCUUGAAGAGAUUGAAACUGUUAAGUUUUAAUGUAGUUCUUUCUCCACUUCACUUGUGUUGUGUGUGGAUUGAUUGAUUUGGGGAACAGAGAGGCUUCCAAAUAUGAAGAAAGCUCCUACUUGAGGAUACUUUUGGACAGCAGAGAUGCGUCAAGGUUUUGAAGUUUUUGAUGGAAAAGAAUAGUGUUAAUGCUAUUCAUAGAAAAGUAUGUUGGUAUUUUAGGAAAUUUGGCUAAUAAUUUAGUUAAUUAUAUAAAAAAUGUUGAAAUGUUACAUUUGUCUAC
Molecule: non-coding RNA, 706 nt
Organism: Lactuca sativa (garden lettuce)
Lineage: Eukaryota; Viridiplantae; Streptophyta; Magnoliopsida; Asterales; Asteraceae
Source: RefSeq, a predicted model, not a curated record